This 439-nucleotide ribosomal RNA is filed under the name uncultured bacterium. RNAcentral's name for it is "partial 16S ribosomal RNA". It matches the Rfam family "Bacterial small subunit ribosomal RNA", at positions 338 to 795 of the family's 1533-position model. The record is from RNAcentral.
ACUACGGGAGUCAGCAGUGGGGAAUUUUGCGCAAUGGGGGAAACCCUGACGCAGCAACGCCGCGUGCGGGACGAAGGCCCUCGGGUCGUAAACCGCUUUCAGCAGGGAAGACCACGACGGUACCUGCAGAAGAAGCUCCGGCUAACUACGUGCCAGCAGCCGCGGUAAUACAGAGGGGGCGAGCAUUAUCCGGAUUCAUGGGGCGUAAAGCGCGCGUAGGCGGCCGCCUAAGCGGAACCUCUAACCCCGGGGCGCAACUUCGGGCCGGGUUCCGGACUGGGCGGCGCGAGGGCGGUAGAGGAGAGCGGAAUUCCCGGUGUAGCGGUGGAAUGCGCAGAUAUCGGGAAGAACACCGAUGGCGAAGGCAGCUCUCUGGGCCGUCACUGACGCUGAGGCGCGAAAGCUGGGGGAGCGAACAGGAUUAGAUACCCCUGUAGUC